This is a long non-coding RNA of Aplysia californica (California sea hare), 520 nucleotides long. RefSeq lists it as uncharacterized. The record is from RefSeq and is a predicted model, not a curated record. The transcript is spliced from 3 exons. NCBI's taxonomy places the organism in Eukaryota, Metazoa, Mollusca, Gastropoda, Aplysiida, Aplysiidae.
UAACACGGAUAGCUCGAAUUCGUCAGGACCGGCCUCGAUAGUUCGAUGUAUCCGUAGUUCCAGGAAUAUCUUACAAAGACCAAGAAGAAGAAGAAAAUCGGGACUGCGUGCACAGUUCGACGGAUGCAUAAUCGGAUCUUCUGUGUUGGACCUCUUCGUGUUAUAGGCUGUGUUCCCUGCCAUAUGUGAGAGACAAUCCCUGUGGUCUGAGGCCGGUCAAGCCAGUGCCAAUAUGGAGUCAGUAUCUCACUGACCGUUCCUCUCUAACUGUGUGUGAGAAGAAAAUUGUGUUUGAUGUCUUCAGAACAUCAGAACCUGACAGAAAUGUUCAACUAUCUGUCCCGAGAACCUUCAAGACGCUGCCAUGUUGAAGGGGACAUCAGAGAUGGUCAUCAACAGGAUCUGUCGGUAGAUUUGACCAGACAAAAGAUGAAGCAGACAAAGAGAUAUGGAGAACUGAGUGGAUCAGAAAAAACCUUCAUGUCUAGCUCAUCCCCAAUGUUCCCCACUAUUUUUUAGC